RNAcentral lists this ribosomal RNA (1539 nucleotides) under Staphylococcus aureus. RNAcentral's name for it is "16S ribosomal RNA". It matches the Rfam family "Bacterial small subunit ribosomal RNA". Lineage: Bacteria; Bacillati; Bacillota; Bacilli; Caryophanales; Staphylococcaceae. The record is from RNAcentral.
AGAGUUUGAUCCUGGCUCAGGAUGAACGCUGGCGGCGUGCCUAAUACAUGCAAGUCGAGCGAACGGACGAGAAGCUUGCUUCUCUGAUGUUAGCGGCGGACGGGUGAGUAACACGUGGAUAACCUACCUAUAAGACUGGGAUAACUUCGGGAAACCGGAGCUAAUACCGGAUAAUAUUUUGAACCGCAUGGUUCAAAAGUGAAAGACGGUCUUGCUGUCACUUAUAGAUGGAUCCGCGCUGCAUUAGCUAGUUGGUAAGGUAACGGCUUACCAAGGCAACGAUGCAUAGCCGACCUGAGAGGGUGAUCGGCCACACUGGAACUGAGACACGGUCCAGACUCCUACGGGAGGCAGCAGUAGGGAAUCUUCCGCAAUGGGCGAAAGCCUGACGGAGCAACGCCGCGUGAGUGAUGAAGGUCUUCGGAUCGUAAAACUCUGUUAUUAGGGAAGAACAUAUGUGUAAGUAACUGUGCACAUCUUGACGGUACCUAAUCAGAAAGCCACGGCUAACUACGUGCCAGCAGCCGCGGUAAUACGUAGGUGGCAAGCGUUAUCCGGAAUUAUUGGGCGUAAAGCGCGCGUAGGCGGUUUUUUAAGUCUGAUGUGAAAGCCCACGGCUCAACCGUGGAGGGUCAUUGGAAACUGGAAAACUUGAGUGCAGAAGAGGAAAGUGGAAUUCCAUGUGUAGCGGUGAAAUGCGCAGAGAUAUGGAGGAACACCAGUGGCGAAGGCGACUUUCUGGUCUGUAACUGACGCUGAUGUGCGAAAGCGUGGGGAUCAAACAGGAUUAGAUACCCUGGUAGUCCACGCCGUAAACGAUGAGUGCUAAGUGUUAGGGGGUUUCCGCCCCUUAGUGCUGCAGCUAACGCAUUAAGCACUCCGCCUGGGGAGUACGACCGCAAGGUUGAAACUCAAAGGAAUUGACGGGGACCCGCACAAGCGGUGGAGCAUGUGGUUUAAUUCGAAGCAACGCGAAGAACCUUACCAAAUCUUGACAUCCUUUGACAACUCUAGAGAUAGAGCCUUCCCCUUCGGGGGCAAAGUGACAGGUGGUGCAUGGUUGUCGUCAGCUCGUGUCGUGAGAUGUUGGGUUAAGUCCCGCAACGAGCGCAACCCUUAAGCUUAGUUGCCAUCAUUAAGUUGGGCACUCUAAGUUGACUGCCGGUGACAAACCGGAGGAAGGUGGGGAUGACGUCAAAUCAUCAUGCCCCUUAUGAUUUGGGCUACACACGUGCUACAAUGGACAAUACAAAGGGCAGCGAAACCGCGAGGUCAAGCAAAUCCCAUAAAGUUGUUCUCAGUUCGGAUUGUAGUCUGCAACUCGACUACAUGAAGCUGGAAUCGCUAGUAAUCGUAGAUCAGCAUGCUACGGUGAAUACGUUCCCGGGUCUUGUACACACCGCCCGUCACACCACGAGAGUUUGUAACACCCGAAGCCGGUGGAGUAACCUUUUAGGAGCUAGCCGUCGAAGGUGGGACAAAUGAUUGGGGUGAAGUCGUAACAAGGUAGCCGUAUCGGAAGGUGCGGCUGGAUCACCU